UGCACAUAUUUGUCCCAGAGCUGCUCUGCCCUGCUGCCUAGCCUGUAAUAGCACAAGUCCUGGGGACUUGAAAUUUGUAAUGCAGGGUGUUGUUGGGCUAUAGCUUGUAUUUGUUGAUUGCCCUAACAUUUUUGGUGCUGUUAAGUUGUCCUGCAGCUGUUUUACACUAGUCCUAACAUCCUUUCAGAUGCAGAAUGUUCAAAUCAGUGGCAGCGAGCCCCAGUCCUGGGUGAGGGUGUUGCCAUGAGCAGGAGGUCCAGGCAGAUAGCAGCAGUGAAGGCCCAGUGUCCAAGGGAAGCCACUUGGAGUAUUGCAAGCCCCUGUCACCAGCUGGCCGAUGGACUGGGUUUCCUGCGUCUGUGAGUCCUCUGGAAGUAUUUCAGGACUCUUGAGAUGAAACCUUGAAAUUUUGUAUUUCAAGAUGGCAUCCGGGCAGCCUUUUGCAAUGGCCGAGGAGUUGCGGUGAGACGCCGAGAUAGGGAGGGGGAGCCAAGGUCCAUUUAGGUUUCAGCAGUGGCGAGUCACUUUGUCUCUUCUUAACCCAGGCAGACCCUGCGAUGACGGUGGCAGCCUCCGAGCAUUGCCAAAGUGUGGGGCCUGAGCAACCGGGCAUUCUUAG
This is a non-coding RNA of Taeniopygia guttata (zebra finch), 619 nucleotides long. NCBI's taxonomy places the organism in Eukaryota, Metazoa, Chordata, Aves, Passeriformes, Estrildidae. The record is from RefSeq and is a predicted model, not a curated record.